CGUGUAGGCGGUGCGGUAAGUUGGGCGUGAAAUCCCCGAGCUUAACUCGGGUGGGCCGUUCAAGACUGCCGUGCUAGGGUGCGGGAGAGGGCAGUGGAAUUUCCGGUGUAGCGGUGAAAUGCGCAGAUAUCGGGAGGAACACCUGCGGCGAAGGCGGCUGCCUGGACCGUAACCGACGCUGAGGCGCGAAAGCUAGGGGAGCAAACAGGAUUAGAUACCCUGGUAGUCCUAGCCCUAAACGAUGAGCACUGGGUGUGGCCCCUCACGGGGCCGUGCCGAAGCUAACGCAUUAAGUGCUCCGCCUGGGGAGUACGGUCGCAAGGCUGAA
RNAcentral lists this ribosomal RNA (328 nucleotides) under uncultured bacterium. RNAcentral describes it as "bacterial SSU rRNA". It matches the Rfam family "Bacterial small subunit ribosomal RNA", at positions 568 to 898 of the family's 1533-position model. The record is from RNAcentral.